Molecule: ribosomal RNA, 405 nt
Filed under: Phacaspis mitis
Lineage: Eukaryota; Metazoa; Arthropoda; Insecta; Diptera; Dolichopodidae
Description: partial 16S ribosomal RNA
Rfam family: Bacterial large subunit ribosomal RNA
Source: RNAcentral
UAAAUGGCCGCAGUAUUUUAACUGUGCAAAGGUAGCAUAAUAAUUAGUCUUUUAAUUGAAGGCUUGUAUGAAUGAUUGGACGAGAUAUAAGCUGUCUCAUAAAAAUUAAUAGAAUUUUAUUUUUUAGUCAAAAAGCUAAAAUUUUUUAAAAAGACGAGAAGACCCUAUAGAUCUUUAUAAUUUAAUUAAUAUUUAUUAUAAGGAUUAUUUUAAAAUUUAUUAAUUAAAUUAUUUUAUUGGGGUGAUAUUGAAAUUUAAUUAACUUUCAAUUAUUAUUUACAUAAAUUAAUGAUGAAUUUGAUCCGUUAUUAACGAUUAAAAAUUUAAGUUACCUUAGGGAUAACAGCGUAAUUAUUUUGGAGAGUUCAUAUCGAUAAAAUAGGUUGCGACCUCGAUGUUGGAUUA